GCCCCCAUAGCACAAAUGGAUAGUGCAAGAGACUUCUAAUCUCUAGGUUUCUGGUUCGAAUCCAGAUGGGGGUA
RNAcentral lists this transfer RNA (74 nucleotides) under Chloroflexota bacterium. Its description in RNAcentral is "Chloroflexi bacterium (sediment metagenome) tRNA-Arg". It matches the Rfam family "tRNA". Rfam says of the family: Transfer RNA (tRNA) molecules are approximately 80 nucleotides in length. Their secondary structure includes four short double-helical elements and three loops (D, anti-codon, and T loops). RNAcentral also lists the same sequence under 1 other name. The record is from RNAcentral. Lineage: Bacteria; Bacillati; Chloroflexota.